RNAcentral lists this small nuclear RNA (107 nucleotides) under Aotus nancymaae (Ma's night monkey). The record is from RNAcentral. Lineage: Eukaryota; Metazoa; Chordata; Mammalia; Primates; Aotidae.
GUGCUUGCUUCAGCAGCACAUGUACUAAAAUUGGAGCCAUACAGAGAUGAUUAGCAUGGUCCCUCUGCAGGGAUGACACGUACAUUUGUGAAGCAUUCCCUAUUAAA